RNAcentral lists this ribosomal RNA (506 nucleotides) under [Mycoplasma] phocae. RNAcentral describes it as "bacterial LSU rRNA". It matches the Rfam family "Bacterial large subunit ribosomal RNA", at positions 1 to 498 of the family's 2925-position model. The record is from RNAcentral. Lineage: Bacteria; Bacillati; Mycoplasmatota; Mycoplasmoidales; Metamycoplasmataceae.
CUAUUAAACAAGAUAAGAGUUUUUGGUGGAUGCCUUGGGUCUGGAAGUCUAAGAAGGACGUGAUUACCUGCGAUAAGCCUCGGUUAGCUGGAAAUAAGCUGUUAUCCGGGGAUUUCCGAAUGGGGAAACCCAAUUGAGUUAAUCCUCAAUUAUCAUUUCGAUGAAUCCAUAGUCGAAUGAAGAGACACGCUGUGAAUUGAAACAUCUCAGUAGCAGCAGGAAAAGAAAAUAAAGAAUGAUUCCCUUAGUAGUGGCGAGCGAACGGGGAAAAGCCCAAACCAACAUUUGAUGUUGGGGUUGUAGGACUACUUACACGAAGUUAGAAAAAACUUAAACAUAGCAGAAUAAGUUGGAAUGCUUAAACAUAGAGGGUGAAAUUCCCGUAAGCGAAAUGAAUAAGUCUUCAAGUAGUAUCCUGAGUAGGGCGGGGCACGUGAAACCCUGUCUGAACCCGCCGGGACCACCCGGUAAGGCUAAAUACUAACCAGACACCGAUAGUGAACUAG